AUUGAACGCUGGCGGCAUGCUUUACACAUGCAAGUCGAACGGCAGCGCGGGCUUCGGCCUGGCGGCGAGUGGCGAACGGGUGAGUAAUGCAUCGGAACGUGCCCAGUAGUGGGGGAUAGCCCGGCGAAAGCCGGAUUAAUACCGCAUACGACCUGAGGGUGAAAGCGGGGGACCGAAAGGCCUCGCGCUAUUUGAGCGGCCGAUGUCGGAUUAGCUAGUUGGUGGGGUAAAGGCUUACCAAGGCGACGAUCCGUAGCUGGUCUGAGAGGACGACCAGCCACACUGGGACUGAGACACGGCCCAGACUCCUACGGGAGGCAGCAGUGGGGAAUUUUGGACAAUGGGGGCAAGCCUGAUCCAGCCAUGCCGCGUGCGGGAAGAAGGCCUUCGGGUUGUAAACCGCUUUUGUUCGGGAAGAAAUACUCUGGGCUAAUACCCCGGGGGGAUGACGGUACCGGAAGAAUAAGCACCGGCUAACUACGUG
Molecule: ribosomal RNA, 484 nt
Filed under: uncultured bacterium
Lineage: Bacteria
Description: partial 16S ribosomal RNA
Rfam family: Bacterial small subunit ribosomal RNA
Source: RNAcentral